This 1689-nucleotide unclassified non-coding RNA is filed under the name Hevea brasiliensis (rubber tree). Lineage: Eukaryota; Viridiplantae; Streptophyta; Magnoliopsida; Malpighiales; Euphorbiaceae. The record is from RNAcentral.
GUUAGCAGUUGCCCUGACAACUGAAAGUAAGUAAACAAUUUCAGAAUUAACACAUGAAAAUGGCAAAAGAAGCUUCAUACAUCACUUAUCCAUCAAAACCACUUGCCACACAUUGAAACUACUUCAUUAAUCAAUCAAGCUUUCGAAACAUAUCAAUCCAAAGUAAUGCAACCCAUGGAAAUGGAGCAGCAGCUACAAGAAUGUUCAUCAUGUCUUGGCAAAACCUUAUCGUUGGAGAUGGGGUAUCAAGCGGGAAUGCCCAACCAUUUCAUGGAGUGAACAAAUGCAGCCACAUCUUGAUUCUUGAGGAUACAGAAACUUGUAAAAAAAAAAAAAAGGAUUCUUUUGUUGCAAUCUAUAAGCAUGGAACUUUUAAUGUCAUUUACAGGAUCCAGUUUUUAAAGAAAUGACUCCAACAUGGGCCAACAUAGCAAAUAAGCUACAUACAGAUAAUUCACUUUCCUUCCUUGAGUACAAGAGUCCCUAAAUUGAAGUGCUUACACCCUAUCUUCAACGCUAGUGCCAUAAUAGAGUUGGUUGAAGCACAUUAACAAUUAACUGAACUGGCCCAAAAGGACCCCAACGUUACAUAUGUUUUGUAGCAUGAAGGUAAAAAGGUGAGACAAAUAGUUCAAUUACCAAUUCCAGACAUAAGAUGGACCUAAAAGCUAUAAGAUUCUCUUCGAUAAGCCUACCAAAAUGGGCUCUUAAGCAUAAUGUGAUGUUGGAGAAGAGUUUAUUCAUCUCAUUCUAAAGGCCCCAAAAAACCAUUUAUUUUCAGAUAGCUGCUUCUAUAUAACAUUCCUAAAGCUACGUUAACUGAUCAUCGAGAGUUUUUUUUCUCACUCAUGCAUCUUACGGCACAAAAUUCAUUUCAUUUCACUUUCCAACAGCACUUCAAUAUGACAUAAUAGAUUCCCAUCAACCAACUCAAUCUAAUACAAAUCUGAAAGUAAAUUCAGAUUGCAGUUUGCAUGUCAAAGGUUAAUAACCCAAAAAAAAAAACAAAAUUUCUAUAUAAGCAUCAAUUCUUUUUAAAUAUAUCAAUUAUUUACAGCUAGCUUAACACUGGUGUCAAUUACCACAAACUUAAUGGAGAUGUGUAGGGCUAUGCACGGUUCCCGGGGGUUCUGAACUGAAAAACCGUACCGAACUGGAAAUAUGCAGGGCUAUAUAAUUAAGAAAUAUGCAAAAGAUAAUACAAAAUUUUUAUUAAGAAAUACAUUUUUGUUAUUAAUAUUAUUAAUUUAAUAUUAGUAUUAUUAUUUUUAUUGAUGUUUUAAUAAUAAUUUUUCUUUCAACUUACUUUCUUUUUCAUGUGAUAAAAUUAAUUGAGUGAAAAUGAAGGUGCCAUCAUAUUGGAGGAAGGCUUAGAACUUGGAAGCUAAUUGGAGUUUUUUAGAGUGGAAAAUAUGGAAAUAAAGCUUGACUUUAUGUUAUGUUUGUUGAUUUUGUGUUAUUUUAUAUUUGGGAAGCAAAUAUUAUAUGACGUAUUAUGGAUAUUCGAUGCUAACUUAUAUUUUUUAUGUGAAGAUUGUUAGUUUGAUUUUAGCAUUUUUCUUGAAUAAGUCUUUAUUUUUUUGUUAUUUUAUUUUGAUAUUAUUAUUGUUAUUUUAGUGUUAGUACAUUAUUAUUAUUGUUCUUUUGAUGUUAGAAAUUUAUAAUUAUUUUUAUUCUUUUAAAAGGAAC